AGUGGCUACAUUCCCGCACACCCGAAUACUUUACAGAGUGCACCCGAGCCAGUACGGGCUGUAAUUUCAGUCAGAAGCACCGACCAGCACUUCGCCCUCACCUCACCUCCAGCAUGCACCCCCACCCUAUGCCACCCCUUAGAAAGCGAUGGAAGGAUCUUGCCAAGGUUCCUUGUUUUAACUAGGGACCUUAGAUCUUGCUGCCCUGCCCGCAGUGGAACAAUAAUAUUUAGAAUUCCAGUGUAAUUUCUUGAGCACUUAUUACCAUUUAGUGAAUAUAAUCUUAGAGACAGCCCCAUAGCUAAACCUUUUUCCACAAAGGUAUAUGUCCACUUUUUUGGUUAAUACUUUAAGCAGCUGUGCAGUGUUCAGCUGUUUCCCGUGAUAUUCAAAGUACAAUGUAGCUGUGGUAACAUGUGGGGCUAAUUUCAAAGCAAAGCAAAAGCUUGACAAGUAGUUGAGCAACCCCAGAAGAACAAUAAAGUAAAAAUGUUACUGUAACGUUAACAGACAGCUAGAGAUGACAGACGAAGUGUCGAAUGCUGCUAUUCUGGUGGAAA
Molecule: long non-coding RNA, 560 nt
Organism: Rhipicephalus microplus (southern cattle tick)
Lineage: Eukaryota; Metazoa; Arthropoda; Arachnida; Ixodida; Ixodidae
Source: RefSeq, a predicted model, not a curated record